GGGGAACCUCACUGCUCCUCUUUGCACAUCUGUUUUGGAGGAAUAUCUGAGGUUUCUGUUGUGACGCACACUGGGCUCAAAUGAACACUGCAUUUGAGUCUUGUGUCUGGGAGUGGGCACAUCUCAUGGUCCGUGUCAGCGCUGGAGUUUGAGAUGAGAUUGGAUUGAAAGCUCUGAAAAAUAGAAAUGUGAAUGGAAAUGGGCCAUGGAGCCUGGGCGGGACGGCUGGGAGGAGAGAUGGCGGCCAGAGUGGCACGCUGACUGGAGGAGUGCCAGCCCCUCUCAACCAGCAUGCGACAGGCGUGGACAGUAAUGGCUGUGUGAUUGGGCUGCACUGGAUGAUGAUUUUAAUAAACACACACACACAGAGGAGGCCACAGGUCAACGGUGUUUGGAUUCAUCAGCCGCUCAGAUUUCUUCAGUCAUCCUCCUGCCAGGGUUGACAGAAAAGCUGUACCAGCUCAGUGCAGAUGCAAGUGCAGCAUGGGUCAUCAAUGAGCCCGAGGUAGCAGACAUGGCCAAUGUUUACUAUCUACCUAUUUACACACCUGGAACUGUCUGACCACUGACGUCCCGCACUGCUAAAGCCUUCCUGCAAAAGAUGGUGGACCGAGCACACAGUAUGAGGACGAAUUGGAAGGAUGCAUUUGCAACAUCCCAAGCAUGAUGGACAAAGGCGAUGACAGAUAUAUGGACAGACCUACAAGUUAAGGUGGAAGAAUACUGAUGUACUGCGUCCCAGCUCUUCACCGCUGCUCGGUUGACAGUUAGAGCUGGCCGGGGUCACUUCCUCAACCUCCCAGGGGUUUGAAGGGUGCAGUUCUGGAGCUGAAUGCCCCACGCCCCAGCGGCUCCCUGACUUGCCCCCAGCGAGAAGCCAGUGAAGUGCGGGAAGUGCAGGUCGCUCUGCUGGGAGAGUGGGCUGCAGGCCUGGAGGUUUGGCUCCGGACCGGCGCUCCUCCUGUGGUGGGACCAGGCCAGACGCAGCCUGCCAGGCGCUGACUUGACCUCCUCAAACUGAUGUGGCACAAGCUGGCAGAGCGGUCACUGCUGCCACUGAGUUUGGGUGGAAGAAACGAUCUCUGGCUCUUUCUCACUUGCUCAUUGGCUACUUUUCAUUUCUUUGUUCUCAUGAUAUGUUUUUUCUUUUUAUUACAUUUUCUGCUAUGAAUAAUUUGAAAUAUAAUGUGGUUAUUUCGCUUUGAAAAACCUGUGUCUUAUAUCUACUUACAGUAUAUCUAUGGAAGUCAAUAUACAUUAUUGUUCCUUUUUGAGUCAUAAAAUGGGAUGAGUGUGCAAUUACAUUAGUGUUUGGAUAUUCUGUCGUCUUUUUGGGACUUUUCAGUAAGUUGCCCAAAAGGACAUCUUGUAGUAACAAAGCAAUCUAGCAGCUGUAGCACUUCUACAGAAAGUCCAUGUAGGGAGGAGGUCGGGGAAGAUGUACGGGUCAACCUAACAUUACACUGUAACACAGGAGACUGCUGUUUCCAUGAUUUAAACCAAAACUGAACUUAGUACCACGUUCAUUUACACACAUUUCACCACAUUAUUGUAUUCUUUCUUUCUUUCUUUCUUUCUUGCUUAUAUUGCCUUUCCCAGCAGCAGACUCUGGGAGUAGUAACACAUAU
Molecule: long non-coding RNA, 1628 nt
Organism: Cottoperca gobio
Lineage: Eukaryota; Metazoa; Chordata; Actinopteri; Perciformes; Bovichtidae
Exons: 8
Source: RefSeq, a predicted model, not a curated record